This 396-nucleotide long non-coding RNA is filed under the name Nicotiana benthamiana. RNAcentral describes it as "long non-coding RNA (NBEN_LNC021384)". Lineage: Eukaryota; Viridiplantae; Streptophyta; Magnoliopsida; Solanales; Solanaceae. The record is from RNAcentral.
UGAGAAAUCAAAAUUCUUAAUUUUUCUCCCAAAUCUGUCGAUGGACUCCGGUCAAAGCGUUCGAAGUCUGUUGACUGAAUCUGGGAUGUUUGACGCUCCAACACCCGUCCAAGUCUCGUAUCGGGACGGGGAUGACACCUAAACUGACGAGUCCAUGCAACUUAGUCAUGAAGUGCUCCUUCAUAUUUUGCUCCUGACAUUCGAGAAUCUUUGCACCAUGUAAGCUUUCAUUUUUCCUACGGAAAAGGACCAGAUAUGGCAGUAAACUAUACGAAAUUGUACAUAUUUGCUUGUGUUUUAAGGUGGACUCGAGACAAGAGGUGAGCAACCCCCACUUCCAACCGAGAGGUUGUGAGUUCGAUUAUGCCCAAGAGUAAGGUGGGAAGUUCUUGGAGG